Molecule: ribosomal RNA, 253 nt
Filed under: uncultured bacterium
Lineage: Bacteria
Description: partial 16S ribosomal RNA
Rfam family: Bacterial small subunit ribosomal RNA
Source: RNAcentral
UACGAAGGGGGCUAGCGUUGUUCGGAAUCACUGGGCGUAAAGGGCGCGUAGGCGGCUUGAUAAGUCGGGGGUGAAAGCCUGUGGCUCAACCACAGAAUUGCCUUCGAUACUGUAGAGCUUGAGACCGGAAGAGGUAAGUGGAACUGCGAGUGUAGAGGUGAAAUUCGUAGAUAUUCGCAAGAACACCAGUGGCGAAGGCGAGUCUCUGGGAUGAAGCUGACGCUGAGGCGCGAAAGCCAGGGGAGCAAACGGG